CCUACGGGAGGCAGCAGUGGGGAAUAUUGCACAAUGGGGGAAACCCUGAUGCAGCGACGCCGCGUGAAUGAAGAAGUAUUUCGGUAUGUAAAGCGCUGUCAGCAGGGAAGAAAAUGACGGUACCUGACCAAGAAGCCCCGGCUAACUACGUGCCAGCAGCCGCGGUAAUACGUAGGGGGCAAGCGUUAUCCAGAUUUCCUGGGUGGAAAGGGAGCGUAGACGGCAGGGCAAGUCUGGAGUGAAAGGCGGGGGCUCAACCCCCGGACUGCUCUGGAAACUGGCAGGCUGGAGUGCAGGAGAGGUAAGCGGAAUUCCUAGUGUAGCGGUGAAAUGCGAAGAUAUUAGGAGGAACACCAGUGGCGAAGGCGGCUUACUGGACUGUAACUGACGUUGAGGCACGAAAGCGUAGGGAGCAAACGGGAUUAGAUACCCUUGUAGUC
This 440-nucleotide ribosomal RNA is filed under the name uncultured bacterium. Its description in RNAcentral is "partial 16S ribosomal RNA". It matches the Rfam family "Bacterial small subunit ribosomal RNA", at positions 338 to 795 of the family's 1533-position model. The record is from RNAcentral.